GCCCCCUCCCCUCGGCGCAGAGGAGCUGCUGCCCGCCCGCCUGCCUCGCUUCGCCGCGCUUUCGCCCGGAGCAAGGUAUGUGUAAGCAGAUAUUGGAGAAAUCUUUUCACUUUGCCUACAGCGGGGUGCACUCAGCCUGCCUUCCCUCCAGCUCAUGAAGUAGACCAUCCUAAUUCAGUUGCCUCUCAGCUUCAGAGCCCCAAGUGACCAGUAGCAGCGUCAGAAGGAAGGAGGGUGAGGAGAGAUGCUUGUGUGAAUAUCUGAGCUUGAAGAGCUUCAGUUACUAGUAAGGAGGCUCCCCUUUUAACUUUGAGAUACGAACAUAUAUAUUUCCAUGUGGAAAUUUAAAGUGGGGUUAAAUGGAGAAGAACGAAAUCUCCAAAUACCUGUAGUGAGGAGUCUGAGUCCUUCAUGCAGAUGGCAUCUGCCCUGGAUGCCUCAGAGAUGGUGAAUACUUGGUAAAGUUGAUGGCUGAAGCUUCAGGUGGCUGUUCAGAGCUGAGGAGUAGGGGCAGAGGAAAUCAUGAGGGGAAAAGUCUGGCACUCACUGCCCUUGGGGGAAGCUGCAGGUGGAUUUUUAGGGACGGCUUUACUCAGAAGGAACAUCUUGAAAGGGAAAAUUGUGUAAAAACUUGCAUUUUUCCACUUCUGAAGAUAACUGCAACUAGGAAGGAUUCCUCCACAGAGAAAGGCUAACGAAAAGCCAAUUACUGGUGACGUGAGCUCAUGGGGAUUUAUAAGAACCCAAUUUUACUUCCAUUUUUUGUGAUUCUCAUCCAGGCCAACUGGCGCAGAUGAGCUUUUGGCAUGCAGGUGAGAGCUAGUGCUUUCCUAACCAUCUAACUUCAUCCUUUCUUCACACUCAGAGAAGCAUAUUUUAGUGAAAAAUUCAUCCCAUGCUUUUUUUUUAUCUGCAUACCACAGCCAUGUCUGUUAUGCAUUACGCACAACACUCAGCAAUUGUCUGUUCUAACCACAAUACCUAACCACAACAUGUUGCUCAGAAUAAGCCUAGCAUACAUCAGUAACCUCUGCAUAGCCUGCACUGCAAGCACACCCCACCUGCUGUUAUUUUGCUUGCUGCAGCUGCCACCAUACCUGCUCCUUGUGCAACAGCUCAAGAAAUCAUGACAGUGUCUCAGGCCUCUCCUGAGCCUGCCUGGGCCAGGUAAGCCAUCUCUAGAUGUCACAUCUCAAUGCUUUGCAGAAACUUCUAGACUUACAGAAAAUAGAUUUUUUUUGCUUUUUUUCCAAGGAUCUUUUUUUUUUUUUUUUUUUUUUUCCAAUAACCAAUACUUCAUAACUUACGAGGUUUUUCAUCUUGGAGACUAACAUUCCCUGUGGCACCAUGUUAUGGCCUGUAUUUGGGACAAGCCGUAGAUCAUCAAGCAUUCUUGGCCACAGGUGCGAGGUGCCUGUCUCAGAGUGAGCACCUGCCAUUCAGCACUAACUAGCAUUCUGGGCACACAGGCAUAUUCAGGAGGCAUCUAGUGCAGAUUAGCUUCAGCAAAUCCAAGGUGGGUCUGUUUACAGUCAAGAUCUUCAAAGCCACUCUCCACAGCCUGUAUCCCCACAUAAUCUUCUUCAGCAACACUUGAAAAUAUUGUCAGCUCUUUACCCCCUGUGGACUCCCCCGUUGCAGGGAACAAAAGACAGGAUAAAAAAUUCCCACGGGCUGUGUCUACACAAUUCUUAUAACCACACUAAGAAAAAUAUCAGCCAUUGACAACUCUCCACCCUUUCAGAGUGGGUAGCUGGCACUGUCUCCCCCUCUGCAGAACCUUGGCUUCUGCAAAGAUGGACAACCUGUGUUUAUUUCAGGCAUUGCAGCUUUUUAAUCUUGAAUGAAGUGCCCCCAUCCAGCCAAGCUGCACACAUGCAGUGCUGGGAGGGACUGUGCAGUCUGCUUGCUGACCACCUGGACUUCCAGGAUACAGUGGAUGCCAGUUUCCCAUGUUCUGUGAGAAGCCCUGUGACGGGAUGCAUCUCUCACCAUCUCUGUAUGAGGGGUUUGCUGAACCCUUCAAUGUGGAUUAGCCCCAUAAGAUUAUGUCUUUCAGUCUGUCUGUAUCCAUCUCAGCAUUGCUGCUGCCUCCAAGCAAUCCUGAGCCCUGGAAGUGUAGGCAAAUGUGUACAGCAACAGCACAGCCUCACAAGCACCACCUGGGUCUGCAGGCACUGCUUCAGUGAAUGUUCAUUCCAACCAGUGCUCACAGGGCAGAAUUUUUCUCAUCAUACGUGACCAAAAAACCCCCACUCCUUUCCUUCCUUCCUCUGCACCUCCUCAAGAAGACAAAAGCGAGAGUUUCCUCUUUAUACAAAAAGCCCAAAAAACCCCAAACCUCCCACUUCCUUCCAACGUCAUGAAAAGCACCAGUUUAUCACUCCUUUCCACCAACUUACCCAAAGCAUACAACUCUCCAGCUUUUCAACACCUCAUAAGUUUCGCUCCUCCCCAGCCUCUGAGAAGUCGGCAGGCUGAGGAAUACUCCUUGCAAAGGUCAGUGAUCAAGCCUGUGCCAUGAAAGGCCCACACAAGAACAAAACCCAAGCCCUCUCAGGCAGAUUGACAGUAUCUCACUGCUUUGCUGCCUGCCCCAUAUCCCUGCCCAACAGAGGCAGCCCACAUUCCCUGCCAUCCCUCUCUAGGAGGCCAGCUGUGGAGCUGAGGUGAGGGAAGGAAAUACUUGCCCUCAAAGCCCUUACUCAAAAUAGAUGGCAAGCAGAAAACGUUAAAUAAAAACAUGUUGUAAAAUACA
This is a long non-coding RNA of Tyto alba (common barn owl), 2758 nucleotides long. RefSeq lists it as uncharacterized. The transcript has 2 exons. NCBI's taxonomy places the organism in Eukaryota, Metazoa, Chordata, Aves, Strigiformes, Tytonidae. The record is from RefSeq and is a predicted model, not a curated record.